This is a long non-coding RNA of Xenopus laevis (African clawed frog), 3428 nucleotides long. RefSeq lists it as uncharacterized. Lineage: Eukaryota; Metazoa; Chordata; Amphibia; Anura; Pipidae. The transcript is spliced from 3 exons. The record is from RefSeq and is a predicted model, not a curated record.
AGGUGAAGUAGCUUUUGAUCUGCACACAUCUCUGUAUUAAUCUUGAAUUUCCUUACAUUACUAAUAAACAUUUUACAUAUGUCAAUAUUGGGGGGAAAUGUGUAAAUGCAGAUGAAUUAGCCCAAUGUUUCCUUUGGCAGUUAUUUUACAUUGUGAAAACACAAGUGGAUUUGGUGUUAAUUCUCUUUGCCAUGUGAAAGUGAUUUUUGGUGCUUCCACCAUACACUGUGAUUAGAAAAUGUUUGAAAUCUUUACACAUCAACAUCCUUACUGAUCACCUCAAGUCAAGUGGAUUUUAUUGUCAUUUCAGCCAUAUACAGUAAUACAGUACAUAGUGGAAACAAAAUAACGUCUCUCCAGAACCCAUGGUGCUACACAUAGGACUGUAUGAAGGAGCUGUUUCCAGCAAACAAGCAAAAUGUUGAGCACUUUGCCAAGUAUUUCAAUGACACUGACUUGAAAGAGCUCUCUGAUUUUCUAUUGGCCCAGCAGACUUUAGGAACACGCAAAGAGCUCCAGAAGGAGCUACAGGAGCGCCUCUCUCACAAAUGUCCCAUAAAAGAGAACUUUCCAUUAAACAAAAUGAUUUGAAUUUUGUCCAGGGUGAGGCACUGUCUAUGCUUGGGUGCAGGCAGUCACAGUGCAUUUUGUUACCGAAAAGGGACAUAUUGCAUUUCUCGCUGCAGUUCAGAGGACAAGAGGAGCAGCAGGGCAGUGUAUUUUCUGUCUGUGGAGAAUUCGCAAUUGUAUGCAUCGUCUGGCCCAAGCCUAAGUGCUUACCUUACCUUAAAUCUUUGAGCAAAAACUUGAUCUCUGCAUUUAGGUCUUCCACCGGGACAUAUUAUCCAAAGCACACUUUAAAAAAGCACCCAAGAACAGUUAAAGACAAAAUACUUCCCAGUUCUGAAGUGAACGAAGAGCUAAAUCUCAUUGAACACUUAUGAAUAGAUCUGAAAACCUGCAGUAGGGAAAAAAUCAACUUUUAAACCUAGGUGGAAUGGAGCAGUAUGCAAAGAGUGUGCAAAACUGUCGAGAGAUGAGGAAAGUUCUCCCAGCUUGAUUUGACCAACGGAUGUGCUACCAAAUAUUAAUAGAGCAAAGAGGAGACUUGUAGUUGCUCAGGGAAGCUUAUCCUGUUGUACCAAUUGGACAAAUCACACAGCCAAUGUUUCAGAGGAGAAACCCCUCUCUUUGUCAGGAUGUUUAAAGUCUACCAUAUAUCAAUUAUAGUGUGUCAAAAAUUAGUCAAUGUUCUGAGCAUAAUUCUGUAAUUUUAAUGGUGACGCAAGGAAACCUGGCUUUGUCAACUUCAUAUUUAUUUUGCACUAGAUUUUUUUUUUUAAUUUAAAUUUGAGAGCUACUUGCAAAAAGUAAAGAGGUGCCGAUAUUAUUGGCCAUUACUAUAGGAUGGAUUUAUGGCACCACAAAUCACACAAUUUCACAACCAUGCACAUAUACUGGAGCCACAAAUAGAUUAAUAACAACAGAUAUUGCAUAAUAUUGUCAUGAAUGCAGUUAUUGUGGCAAAGGAAUAGUUUCAAUCUUUGUAGUGUGGAAAUGCAGUCUCUAAGAAAAGGUUUACUUUGAGAAAGGUACACUGGAAACACUGGAAACCUGUAAUUCUAGAUUCUUCUAAUUCCAGUAAUAACCACAAGAUGGCAACAUGACAAACUACUGAACCUGUACGGCAAACAAUCCGAUUCAGCAGCAUUUACAUUAUUGUUAAUCACAGUACAGUGCCUUAUUCUUAGCUUACUUGUAUGAAAAUGAUUUGAGGGGUUUUCGAGGGAAGGCGUGUUAUGUGAAAUGCUCCAAUGUUUUCUGAAAAGUUUUAAUCCUGAAAAGGUUGACACAUCUUACAUGCAUUUAUUUUGUUCAUGUGUUUUAGAGUCAGUAAAUCUAAAGCUGUGUGACAUUUUCUUUUGUUCUACCAAACAAUCAGUGACAUCUAAAAGCACAGAUCUGAUAUGCACUACCUGUUUGGGAGCUGAACCUUCUCCUACAGUAUGUGAAGAAAAGAUUCAGACAACAAAACAUGGGAAAGCUAUAAGUGCAGGAUUCACUUUGUACAAGAAACACUUUUUUGCAAAUUUUAUUUUACAGAAAUUGGAGAAAGUGAAGGCAAAUGCCCUUUCCCCCAUGGUAGGCUGCUAGCCCACUACAUUCUUGGCUCCCCUGGGGGAUUGGCCAUGCCAGCUAAGUAGAAUGCAAACUUAAUUUACAAAAAAAAAGCCUAAUGUCUAAACAUCUCACACCCUUGAUCCUGCCACACCCAGUUACUGUAUGUCCAAACAUACUCCAAUUAGCCCGAAAAACCAGCCCACUUCCAACAAGCUUCAUUCUCAUUUGAUCCAGGUCCACACUGGAACUUGGUCGCUGACAGGACUCAUGCCUGACCCACCCUGAUAGUGCCAUUAAUUGUUAAACUAUAAUUCCAUCACUGAAUGAGUAGAAUAGCAUAAAAUGUAGAAAUGUAGAUCACAAGACACUGCUCAUAGCUACUCAUCUUGUACAGAUCUAUGGGUCUACAAAUUACAGUUAGAGCCUGGCUUGAAUAGUGCUAUGAAAAUGUAAUUCAAUAAGUGCAGCCCAUCAUGGAUUUUCGAAAUGUAACCUUGAUUUUAUACUUUUGGAAACCACUGCACAAAAUUCAGGAAUGCAUUAGUUGAGCUUUGAUAGAUUUGUCUUUGGAAUUGACAGCACACCAUGAGCACUAAGGGUAGGACUACACAGGCUUUUUCGACGCGAUGCGAAACAAAAGCAGGCGUCAAGUCGGAUGCAACAGAAAUAAGGUAAGUAAUGGCAUUGUCGGAUGGUGUUGCAGUAUUGAUCCGAUGUUCCACGACUGUCGGAUGCAGACACUGUGCACUGCAUCUGCAUCCGAUGGUCGUGUUGUGUCGGAUCAAUACUGCGACUUCAUCCGACAUUUGUAUAUCUUACCUUAUUUCCGUCUCAUCCAACUUGAUGCUUGCGUUUUUGCCCAGCACGUCGGAUCGCUCCAAAAACGCCCGUGCUAAGGCAGACAUUUAUUGUAGCUCAGCUGGACAAUCACAUCUUGAACAUACAGGUAUAUAUGAAGUUCACAGUUGAAAUGUACAUAUUUGAUAUGUAACACACAUGCCGUCCGUCCCAUUGCAGGACUGCAGUUUCCAAGACUGGGAGGCUAAAUACUGUGGCCUAUAGUGCAGUAACAACUAUGACUGUGUUUAAACCAAAAUAUUCCUGCACUAGUGCAAUUACCCAAAGCAUCCGAUCAGAUUGAUGCUUCCAUUUUUUAAUUUAGUAGUAGAAAAAUAUGAAUUGCCGAUGCUGCUAAUGGUAACUAUACUGGUCAAUCUAGCGCCAAUGUUAGUAAAUUAGCCCUAAUGUUUUACAAAUAUCACUCAGUUCUGCUAAUUUUCUCACCAUCCUAGGCAAUUGCCUUUGGU